This 973-nucleotide ribosomal RNA is filed under the name Inocybe geophylla. Its description in RNAcentral is "eukaryotic LSU rRNA". It matches the Rfam family "Eukaryotic large subunit ribosomal RNA", at positions 1 to 955 of the family's 3401-position model. The record is from RNAcentral. Lineage: Eukaryota; Fungi; Basidiomycota; Agaricomycetes; Agaricales; Inocybaceae.
UUGACCUCAAAUCAGGUAGGACUACCCGCUGAACUUAAGCAUAUCAAUAAGCGGAGGAAAAGAAACUAACAAGGAUUCCCCUAGUAACUGCGAGUGAAGCGGGAAAAGCUCAAAUUUGAAAUCUGGCAGCUCUUUGAACUGUCCGAGUUGUAAUCUAGAGAAGUGUUACCUGUGCUGGACCGUGUACAAGUCUCCUGGAAUGGAGCGUCACAGAGGGUGAGAAUCCCGUCUUUGACACGGACUGCCUGCAUGUUAUGGUGCGCUCUCAAAGAGUCGAGUUGUUUGGGAAUGCAGCUCAAAAUGGGUGGUAAAUGCCAUCUAAAGCUAAAUAUUGGCGAGAGACCGAUAGCGAACAAGUACCGUGAGGGAAAGAUGAAAAGAACUUUGGAAAGAGAGUUAAACAGUACGUGAAAUUGCUGAAAGGGAAACGCUUGAAGUCAGUCGCGUCGGCUAGAAAUCAACCUUGCUUUUGCUUGGUGUAUUUUCUUGUUGAUGGGUCAGCAUCAAUUUUGACCGUUGGACAAAGUCAUUGGGAAUGUGGCAUCUUAGGAUGUGUUAUAGCCCAUUGUCGCAUACAGCGGUUGGGAUUGAGGAACUCAGCACGCCCGCAAGGGACGGGUUUCGACCACGUUCGUGCUUAGGAUGCUGGCAUAAUGGCUUUAAUCGACCCGUCUUGAAACACGGACCAAGGAGUCUAACAUGCCUGCGAGUGUUUGGGUGGAAAACCCAUGCGCGCAAUGAAAGUGAAAGUUGAGAUCCCCCCUCCAGGGGAGCAUUGACGCCCGGACCAGACCUUCUGUGACGGAUCCGCGGUAGAGCAUGUAUGUUGGGACCCGAAAGAUGGUGAACUAUGCCUGAAUAGGGUGAAGCCAGAGGAAACUCUGGUGGAGGCUCGUAGCGAUUCUGACGUGCAAAUCGAUCGUCAAAUUUGGGUAUAGGGGCGAAAGACUAAUCGAACCAUCUAGUAGCUGGU